Molecule: microRNA precursor, 72 nt
Organism: Rhinopithecus bieti (black snub-nosed monkey)
Lineage: Eukaryota; Metazoa; Chordata; Mammalia; Primates; Cercopithecidae
Source: Ensembl
GGUUGGUGCAAAAGUAACUGCGGUUUUUGCUACUGAAAGUUAUGGCAAAAACCACAGUUACUUUUGUACCAA